GACGAACGCUGGCGGCGUGCUUAACACAUGCAAGUCGAACGGAAAGGCCUCUUUCGGGGGGUACUCGAGUGGCGAACGGGUGAGUAACACGUGAGUAACCUGCCCUUGACUUUGGGAUAACUUCAGGAAACUGGGGCUAAUACCGGAUAGGAGCUCCUGCUGCAUGGUGGGGGUUGGAAAGAUUCGGCGGUUGGGGGUGGACUCGCGGCGUAUCCGCUUGGUGGUGGGGUAGUGGCUUACCAAGGCUUUGACGGGUAGCCGGCCUGGGAGGGUGACCGGCGACAUUGGGACUGAGAGACGGCCCAGACUCCUACGGGAGGCAGCAGUGGGGAAUAUUGCACAAUGGGUGGAAGCCUGAUGCAGCAACGCCGUGUGCGGGAUGACGGCCUUCGGGUUGUAAACCGCUUUCGCUCAUGACGAAGCUUUGUGUGACGGUAGUGGGUAAAGAAGCACCGGCUAACUACGUG
RNAcentral lists this ribosomal RNA (467 nucleotides) under uncultured bacterium. Its description in RNAcentral is "partial 16S ribosomal RNA". It matches the Rfam family "Bacterial small subunit ribosomal RNA", at positions 28 to 507 of the family's 1533-position model. The record is from RNAcentral.